AGAGUUUGAUCCUGGCUCAGAGCGAACGCUGGCGGCGUGCUUAACACAUGCAAGUCGAACGCGCAGCAUUCUGUAGCAAUACAGGAUGUGGGCGCGUGGCGAACGGGUGCGUAACACGUGGAUAACCUUCCUUCAGGUGGGGAAUAACCCCGCGAAAGCGGGGCUAAUACCGCAUAACAUGACGAUGCCACAUGGUGUUGUCUUCAAAGCCGCAAGGCGCCAGAAGAGGGAUCCGCGGCCGAUUAGCUUGUUGGCGAGGUAAUGGCUCACCAAGGCUUUGAUCGGUAGCCGGACUGAGAGGUUGGCCGGCCACACUGGAACUGAGACACGGUCCAGACUCCUACGGGAGGCAGCAGUGGGGAAUCUUGCACAAUGGACGAAAGUCUGAUGCAGCAACGCCGCGUGGGGGAUGAAGCUUUUCGGAGUGUAAA
RNAcentral lists this ribosomal RNA (431 nucleotides) under uncultured bacterium. Its description in RNAcentral is "bacterial SSU rRNA". It matches the Rfam family "Bacterial small subunit ribosomal RNA", at positions 8 to 429 of the family's 1533-position model. The record is from RNAcentral.